CUGGUGUCAGCCGCCGCUGUAAUACCAGCACCUCGAGUGGUCAGGACGUUUAUUGGGCCUAAAGCAUCCGUAGCCGGCUCUGCAAGUCUUCGGUUAAAUCCACCUGCUCAACAGAUGGGCCGCUGGAGAUACUACAGAGCUAGGGAGUGGGAGAGGCAGACGGUAUUCAGUGGGUAGGGGUAAAAUCCUCUGAUCCAUUGAGGACCACCAGUGGCGAAGGCGGUCUGCCAGAACACGUUCGACGGUGAGGGAUGAAAGCUGGGGGAGCAAACCGGAUUAGAUACCCGGGUAGUCCCAGCUGUAAACGAUGCAAACUCGGUGAUGCAUUGGCUUAUGGCCAAUGCAGUGCCGCAGGGAAGCCGUUAAGUUUGCCGCCUGGGAAGUACGGACGCAAGUCUGAAACUUAAAGGAAUUGGCGGGGGAGCACCACAAGGGGUGAAGCCUGCGGUUCAAUUGGAGUCAACGCCAGGAAUCUUACCCGGGGAGACAGCAGAGUGAAGGUCAAGCUGAAGACUUUACCAGACAAGCU
This 529-nucleotide ribosomal RNA is filed under the name uncultured Nitrososphaerota archaeon. Its description in RNAcentral is "bacterial SSU rRNA". It matches the Rfam family "Archaeal small subunit ribosomal RNA", at positions 452 to 981 of the family's 1478-position model. Lineage: Archaea; Thermoproteati; Nitrososphaerota. The record is from RNAcentral.